Molecule: ribosomal RNA, 826 nt
Filed under: Stachybotrys chartarum
Lineage: Eukaryota; Fungi; Ascomycota; Sordariomycetes; Hypocreales; Stachybotryaceae
Description: eukaryotic LSU rRNA
Rfam family: Eukaryotic large subunit ribosomal RNA
Source: RNAcentral
AUUGCCUUAGUAACGGCGAGUGAAGCGGCAACAGCUCAAAUUUGAAAUCUGGCCCCAGGCCCGAGUUGUAAUUUGCAGAGGAUGCUUUUGGCGCGGUGCCUUCCGAGUUUCCUGGAACGGGACGCCAUAGAGGGUGAGAGCCCCGUCUGGUUGGAUACCAAGCCUUUGUAAAGCUCCUUCGACGAGUCGAGUAGUUUGGGAAUGCUGCUCUAAAUGGGAGGUAUAUGUCUUCUAAAGCUAAAUACCGGCCAGAGACCGAUAGCGCACAAGUAGAGUGAUCGAAAGAUGAAAAGCACUUUGGAAAGAGAGUUAAACAGCACGUGAAAUUGUUAAAAGGGAAGCGUUUAUGACCAGACUUGGGCCGGUUAAUCAUCCAGCGUUCUCGCUGGUGCACUUUGCCGGUCCAGGCCAGCAUCAGUUCGCUGCGGGGGAUAAAGGCGUCGGGAAUGUGGCUCCUCUGGAGUGUUAUAGCCCUUCGCGCAAUACCCUGCGGUGGACUGAGGUUCGCGCAUCUGCAAGGAUGCUGGCGUAAUGGUCAUCAACGACCCGUCUUGAAACACGGACCAAGGAGUCGUCUUCGUAUGCGAGUGUUCGGGUGUAAAACCCCUACGCGUAAUGAAAGUGAACGCAGGUGAGAGCUUCGGCGCAUCAUCGACCGAUCCUGAUGUUCUCGGAUGGAUUUGAGUAAGAGCAUACGGGGCCGGACCCGAAAGAAGGUGAACUAUGCCUGUAUAGGGUGAAGCCAGAGGAAACUCUGGUGGAGGCUCGCAGCGGUUCUGACGUGCAAAUCGAUCGUCAAAUAUGGGCAUGGGGGCGAAAGACUAAU